GGGGAAUUAGCUCAGGGGUAGAGCGCCCGCUUUGCAUGCGGGAGGCCAUGGAUUCAAAUUCCAUAUUCUCCA
This 72-nucleotide transfer RNA is filed under the name Paracoccaceae bacterium. RNAcentral's name for it is "tRNA-Ala". It matches the Rfam family "tRNA". From Rfam's summary of the family: Transfer RNA (tRNA) molecules are approximately 80 nucleotides in length. Their secondary structure includes four short double-helical elements and three loops (D, anti-codon, and T loops). Lineage: Bacteria; Pseudomonadati; Pseudomonadota; Alphaproteobacteria; Rhodobacterales; Paracoccaceae. The record is from RNAcentral.